This 1255-nucleotide ribosomal RNA is filed under the name Poecilimon mytilenensis brevissimus. RNAcentral describes it as "eukaryotic LSU rRNA". It matches the Rfam family "Eukaryotic large subunit ribosomal RNA", at positions 1 to 946 of the family's 3401-position model. Lineage: Eukaryota; Metazoa; Arthropoda; Insecta; Orthoptera; Tettigoniidae. The record is from RNAcentral.
CACGACCUCAGAGCAGGCGAGACUACCCGCUGAAUUUAAGCAUAUUAUUAAGCGGAGGAAAAGAAACUAACAAGGRUUCCCUUARWAGCGGCGAGCGAACAGGGAAAAACCCAGCACCGAAUCUUGUAGGUUCACCCUGCUGAGAAAUGUKGUGUUUGGGAGGGUCCACUCAUCCCGGAGUCCUGCGGCGAGUUCAAGUCCUUCUUGAAUGGGGCCACGGCCCGCAGAGGGUGCCAGGCCCGUAGAGACCGCUGCGGCUUCCGGGAGGAUCCCUCCUUAGAGUCGGGUUGCUUGAGAGUGCAGCCCUAAGUGGGUGGUAAACUCCAUCUAAGGCUAAAUAUGACCACGAGACCGAUAGCGAACAAGUACCGUGAGGGAAAGUUGAAAAGAACUUUGAAGAGAGAGUUCAAGAGUACGUGAAACCGUUCGGGGGUAAACGUGAGAAACCCGAAAAUGCAUCAACCGGAGAGAUUCAAGUCUAUCCGCGCCUAAUCCCCUACCUUGCCAGAUGGGUCUGACCUCCCGCACGGAGCAAUCCGGCGUCGGUGUAGGCAACAGUUUUCACUCGGUAGGGUAGUGGUGUUUAGGUCGGGGGGCCGCACUUCUCUCCAUGUUGGACGUCGCGACCCGUUGGGUGUCGGUCUAAGGCCUGGGUGGUAGUCUGUUUGUCUGCGUCGUAAGGCGUGUUCGUCGGACAGGCCCCCAGUGUUCCCGGCCGACGGCUCGACGGUAUGUGUGCGCAGAGUUGAUUCGCCGCCUCUCGGGGUGGGCGUCCGGCCUCCGGCAAGCGCGUGCGCGUGGCAUGGAUGACGGACCUCUGGCCCGGCUCUGGCCCCGCACCGCUGUUGGUUCGGGUGUGCCUCGGACAGAAGAAUCUGUAGACUCUCGUCAGCGGCGCAAAAGCUUCGGGUAAUUUCACGACCCGUCUUGAAACACGGACCAAGGAGUCUAACAUGUGCGCGAGUCAUUGGGUUUAUACUAAACCUAAAGGCGCAAUGAAAGUGAAGGUCCCGCCUCGUGCGGACCGAGGGAAGAUGGGGCGUGCUUCUGCGCGACCCCCGCAUUCCCGGGGCGUCUCGUUCUCAUUGCGAGUUGAGGCGCACCCAGAGCGUACACGUUGGGACCCGAAAGAUGGUGAACUAUGCCUGGCCAGGACGAAGUCAGGGGAAACCCUGAUGGAGGUCCGUAGCGAUUCUGACGUGCAAAUCGAUCGUCGGAGCUGGGUAUAGGGGCGAAAGACUAAUCGAACCAUCUA